Molecule: long non-coding RNA, 776 nt
Filed under: Anas platyrhynchos platyrhynchos (common mallard)
Lineage: Eukaryota; Metazoa; Chordata; Aves; Anseriformes; Anatidae
Description: lncRNA (ENSAPLG00000021840.1)
Source: RNAcentral
GUUCUGACUGACAUAACUGAACUUAUACAUAGAGUCUGUCAUCUAUGAAGAGUUCAGUGGGAAUAUUUGUUACUCAGACUAUUUUGACUAGCAAGUUCUUCAUCAGUUAACAGAGUCUGAGGAAGAGCUGGGAUCUGUGCCUUGGAUGAGCCUGUUCACCACAGAGAAGAUGUCCUGGUCCCUUUGCCCUAGCUUCUCUGAGGCCAGUGGAGGAGCCAUCAGCCCAUCAGAGGACCCUCUCCACAGCCCAGAAGAACUCAGGGACACAAAGGUAAUGCCAUUCUCCAUACCAAGCAAAGUAUCAGCACUAUUAUGAACUCAUGAUCUGAAAGCCUCCAUAACAUCUCAGAGAAUGAAACCAAUCACCUAACAUAACAGAAGUGUUUUAUUUUCAUCAAUAUUUUUAAACUAUCUGCACACAGAAGAGUUCCCACAUCUGUAUAGAAGUACUUAAAAAUGACAGUUUAUUUGUCUUAAACUCUUCUAUGCAACAGAGCUGUGCUAUUCACAUACAUGGAGUAGCAUGUUAUUCUUACAGAAGUGCUUAAUUAGACACAAAGGAGAAAUCUAAGUUGUGAAAUAUCUUUGAAAAUUUUCUUUUUGAUGCUUCUUUUUUCUGUCUUUUCUCUCCAAAUGUAAUUUAUGCCUAAUAGAUUUUUUUUUUCAUUUUCAUCCUCAUAAUUUUAAUCAAAAUAACAAUUUAUUUCUAUCAAAAUGUGUGAAAAAGUAAAUAUGUUUCUACUAAAGUGAAUGUUUCUAUUCUAUUUUAAUGCCUG